This 482-nucleotide ribosomal RNA is filed under the name uncultured bacterium. Its description in RNAcentral is "partial 16S ribosomal RNA". It matches the Rfam family "Bacterial small subunit ribosomal RNA", at positions 30 to 507 of the family's 1533-position model. The record is from RNAcentral.
AUUGAACGCUGGCGGCAUGCCUUACACAUGCAAGUCGAACGGUAACGCGCCUUCGGGUUGCGAUGAGUGGCGAACGGGUGAGUAAUACAUCGGAACGUGCCCGAUCGUGGGUUAUAACGAGGCGAAAGCUUUGCUAAUACCCGAUACUAUCUACGGAUGAAAGCGGGUGACCGCAAGGCCUUGUGGGGACGGAGCGGCCGAUGUCGGAUUAGGUAGUUGGUGGGAUAAAGGCUUACCAAGCCGACGAUCUGUAGCUGGUCUGAGAGGAUGAUCAGCCACACUGGAACUGAGACACGGCCCAGACUCCUACGGGAGGCAGCAGUGGGGAAUAUUGGACAAUGGGCGCAAGCCUGAUCCAGCCAUGCCGCGUGGAGGAUGAAGGCCUUCGGGUUGUAAAGUGCUUUUGUACGGAACGAAAAGCAUUCUUUUAAUACAGGACGGUUAUGACGGUACCGUAAGAAUAAGCACCGGCUAACUACGUG